Saccharomyces arboricola H-6 is the source of this 97-nucleotide small nucleolar RNA. Lineage: Eukaryota; Fungi; Ascomycota; Saccharomycetes; Saccharomycetales; Saccharomycetaceae. The record is from Rfam.
UGUUAUAUGAUGAUAACUUUCUCAGCUCACUCAGAUCUUUUGAAAUGAUUGAUAAAAAUUUCCUAUCCAACAUUCAUCAAUGUAUCUGACCAAAACA